UAAAUAGAAUGAAAUGUAUGAAAACGAGCGUGCCAUUUUUUAAACGUUAUCUAUAAUAUCUGUGUCCAUCAAAGAGCUCGUAACUAAACAUCGUAAGCGCCAUUCAAAUUAUUAUCUAAAAGUUAAUAAUAAAUAUUUAGUUUUUGUAAAUCUAAACAAGUCAGGAAAUCAAAGAGGUAUAGCCUGACCAGGAACAUAAAAACCCUCGCCAUGUUGCGGAAAUCUAAUGGUACUAAUUUCUUUUAAUGGCAACAAUAACUAAAAACUUCAUUGACAUGUCACCUUGCAUGUCAGUCUAUUGCUGUCAAAGUGUAAACAAACUUUAUUUUAAAUGUGCGCAAUUGAUUUUGUGAAUGAAAUUGCUAAAAUCUUUUUAUAGUCGUGAAAGAAAAGUGGUUCACAAUGUGUUAAAGUAUUUGUCGAAGAGAAAUACCAAGGGUUCGGACAAUAUUUUCAUUGAAUAAUGUUUCCAACAAAGGUUGUCAAAUUGACUGACAUGUUUAUCGUAUAGUACAGUCCACUAUGAAAAUUAGCUGUGGUUUGUUUCAACUACCUAUUUUAAAGUUUUUUGUCACUUUCUAAGUGUUGAAUUUUAUGGAAUUGGGAAAGAAGUACCGAGUUUGAAGCGUUCAUGAGCAGACAUUGCAGUUGAAUAUUCAAGUUCUGAAUUUGAUUAUUGAUGAAUAAUAAAAUAAAUCCUACUAGCUCGA
Ostrinia nubilalis (European corn borer) is the source of this 710-nucleotide long non-coding RNA. RefSeq lists it as uncharacterized. The record is from RefSeq and is a predicted model, not a curated record. NCBI's taxonomy places the organism in Eukaryota, Metazoa, Arthropoda, Insecta, Lepidoptera, Crambidae. The transcript has 2 exons.